UGAAGCGUAGCAUAAAUUUAAUGUUUUUCACUUACACUGAAAUGAUGGCUAGGGUUAGUCCGCUUUAA
This 68-nucleotide transfer RNA is filed under the name Tectus virgatus. RNAcentral's name for it is "tRNA-Val". The record is from RNAcentral. Lineage: Eukaryota; Metazoa; Mollusca; Gastropoda; Trochida; Tegulidae.